RNAcentral lists this long non-coding RNA (803 nucleotides) under Olea europaea (common olive). RNAcentral's name for it is "long non-coding RNA (OEUR_LNC001370)". Lineage: Eukaryota; Viridiplantae; Streptophyta; Magnoliopsida; Lamiales; Oleaceae. The record is from RNAcentral.
UCAAAUCAUAAAUCUCAUAAGUCACAACUUAUUACAAAAUAACAAAUUAUAUUGGUCACAAACUAAAAAACUUUGGGUUUACACAUUAUAUAUUGAUCAUAAUUUAUCUAUUUUAUUGGCUAGAUAUUGCUUAUUGAUCACAUAUUAACCAAUUUCCUCGUCACAAUCAAUCAAAUAAUUUGUUGCUCCACUGCCUCGACUGCACCACCGUCAACACCAUCGUCGCAGGAACCACAACCACAAUCUCAAUCAAACCAACACCCACCACUACUUCACAACCACUGCGACGGUAGCGACCAUUGCCACCACCAUCCAAAAUCACUACAUAACCACCACAAAAUACCACCAAUCGCAAAAAACCACCUGCAAACACCACCAACUACAGUGAAAUUUGAAUAUGUAUCCAUAAUCGUCACCACCAUCACCACCAACACCAAAUUUUCUCUCAUAAGCAGUGGCAGUGCCUCCAAACUAUGUCCACCAUCUCAAACAAACCACCACCAACAAUUGCAAAACACAAGUUAAAGAUAGUCUUGGUGCAUCUUACUCUUUUUGGGCUUUAACCAGACAAAACCUGAAGCCGCAAUAGCAAUCUAAAAGCGGUGAUUUGAGAUAUGUGAAUUCUUCACGGACAGCGAAGAGCGUCGUUGAGGUGAUUGGACGCUGGCGACGUCUUCGUACCGCUAUGCGCACCAUAUUCCACGCGGCGCUGCUGUAAGCACUGAUCGAUUAGUUGAAAUAGAGAGGAGUUGGGUAUGGAGAUAAAUACAGAUAGAAUAUAGAGAGAAAUGUAGAAGAGAGAU